RNAcentral lists this ribosomal RNA (34 nucleotides) under Rhynchostegium confertum. Its description in RNAcentral is "partial 18S ribosomal RNA". Lineage: Eukaryota; Viridiplantae; Streptophyta; Bryopsida; Hypnales; Brachytheciaceae. The record is from RNAcentral.
UCCUUCCGUAGGUGAACCUGCGGAAGGAUCAUUG